UCCCUGGUGGCUCAGACGGUAAAGCAUUUGCCUGCAAUGUAGGAGACCCAGGUUCUACCCCUGGGUUGGGAA
Bos taurus (domestic cattle) is the source of this 72-nucleotide non-coding RNA. The record is from Rfam. NCBI's taxonomy places the organism in Eukaryota, Metazoa, Chordata, Mammalia, Artiodactyla, Bovidae.